CUGGCUCAGGACGAACGCUGGCGGCGUGCCUAACACAUGCAAGUCGAACGGAACUGCUUCGAAGGAUUUCUUCGGAAUGACAUUGAUUCAGUUUAGUGGCGGACGGGUGAGUAACGCGUGAGUAACCUGCCUUCAAGAGG
RNAcentral lists this ribosomal RNA (140 nucleotides) under Ruminococcus sp. YE282. RNAcentral's name for it is "16S rRNA. Bacterial SSU". It matches the Rfam family "Bacterial small subunit ribosomal RNA", at positions 19 to 139 of the family's 1533-position model. Lineage: Bacteria; Bacillati; Bacillota; Clostridia; Eubacteriales; Oscillospiraceae. The record is from RNAcentral.